GAUGAAGAACGUAGCGAAAUGCGAUAAGUAAUGUGAAUUGCAGAAUUCAGUGAAUCAUCGAAUCUUUGAACGCACAUUGCGCCCGCCAGUAUUCUGGCGGGCAUGCCUGUUCGAGCGUCAUUUCAACCAUCAAGCCCCCGGCUUGUUUUGGGGACCUGCGGCUGCCGCAGGCCCUGAAAAGCAGUGGCGGGCUCGCUGUCACACCGAGCGUAGUAGCAUACAUCUCGCUCUGGGCGUGCUGCGGGUUCCGGCCGUUAAACCACCUUCAUAACCCAAGGUUGACCUCGGAUCAGGUAGGAAGACCCGCUGAACUUAAGCAUAUCAAUAAGCGGAGGA
This 336-nucleotide unclassified non-coding RNA is filed under the name soil metagenome. Its description in RNAcentral is "partial contains 5.8S ribosomal RNA, internal transcribed spacer 2, and large subunit ribosomal RNA". The stretch from base 1 to 120 matches the Rfam family "5.8S ribosomal RNA", at positions 35 to 154 of the family's 154-position model. The record is from RNAcentral.